This is a microRNA precursor of Pan troglodytes (chimpanzee), 61 nucleotides long. It matches the Rfam family "mir-1285 microRNA precursor family". The record is from Rfam. NCBI's taxonomy places the organism in Eukaryota, Metazoa, Chordata, Mammalia, Primates, Hominidae.
CUGGAGGAUCACUUGAGCCCAGGAAUUUGAGACCAGCCUGGGCAACAAAGUGAGACUCCAU